This 253-nucleotide ribosomal RNA is filed under the name uncultured bacterium. Its description in RNAcentral is "partial 16S ribosomal RNA". It matches the Rfam family "Bacterial small subunit ribosomal RNA", at positions 524 to 776 of the family's 1533-position model. The record is from RNAcentral.
CACGGGGGGAGCAAGCGUUGUUCGGAAUCACUGGGCGUAAAGGGCGUGUAGGCGGUCUGGUAAGUGGGAUGUGAAAGCCCCCGGCUCACCCGGGGAUCUGCAUUCCAUACUGCCAGACUUGAGUAUGGGAGAGGACAGGGGAAUUCCUGGUGUAGCGGUGAAAUGCGUAGAUAUCAGGAGGAACACCGGUGGCGAAGGCGCCUGUCUGGCCCAAUACUGACGCUGAGGCGCGAAAGCUAGGGGAGCAAACGGG